Molecule: unclassified non-coding RNA, 328 nt
Filed under: uncultured fungus
Lineage: Eukaryota; Fungi
Description: partial contains small subunit ribosomal RNA, internal transcribed spacer 1, and 5.8S ribosomal RNA
Rfam family: Eukaryotic small subunit ribosomal RNA (bases 1-73)
Source: RNAcentral
GCAAACUUGGUCAUUUAGAGGAAGUAAAAGUCGUAACAAGGUUUCCGUAGGUGAACCUGCGGAAGGAUCAUUAUCGCAUCUCUGGCGGGAGCUCCCCUGCCCUGCUCCGGCCCGCGUCGGCCGUGCAGCGGGUGGGCGGGCGCCCGUCCAACCUUCACAAACCCACCGUGCACAUUUGCGGGCGGAAGGGCGUCCCUGCGGCGCUCGGAAGCCGGCUUUCUACAAACUCGUAAACCAAACGAAUGUUCAGCGGCCUCUGCGUCGCCUAAAACUUGUAACAACUUUCAACAACGGAUCUCUUGGCUCUCGCAUCGAUGAAGAACGCAGC